Spinacia oleracea (spinach) is the source of this 1683-nucleotide long non-coding RNA. RefSeq lists it as uncharacterized. Lineage: Eukaryota; Viridiplantae; Streptophyta; Magnoliopsida; Caryophyllales; Amaranthaceae. The transcript is spliced from 4 exons. The record is from RefSeq and is a predicted model, not a curated record.
AUCAAUUGGAAAAAAAAAAAAAAACUAAACUCGGGUCUACCCACUUACCCACGAAAUACUGCAGUUCCUUAAAAAAUAAACUCCAAUUCCCUCAAUCCCAAUUCCCAUUUCCUUAAAAGAUCAACUACAAUUCCCUCAUUCUCAAUUCCCUAAAUCCCAAUUAUACCAAAUCCCAAAUCUUAAUCAAUCUAAACAUUUUUUAGCGAGCUCCCUUCAAUUCGAAAUUUGUCCAAGUUCCAUUCAAUCCAAAAUUUGUUGAGGUCAUUUGCGAUUUGGUUUCUUCUCCGAUAAACCUUUAUCAACGGUUGUGAUGAAAUCUGUCUGGCGUACUUCUUCAAAUUGUAAAUCUGCUAUGAAUUAUCAAUUUUGAUAAGUUUUAAAUGGAUGGAUUCCAAGAGGAAUUUGAAGAAUCUCAAGGAUAAACAAAAUAUCCUCCUGCUUCCUUAAUGCUGAUUAUGGUAACUUAGGUAAUAAAGAAAGAGGUACAGUUUAGCUAUUCUGUUUACUAUGGCGGGCGAGAAGUGUACGCUAAAUCAUCUACUACUCAGACUUCCACUCUAUACCCUACAGUAAGUCCUGAAUAUAUCCAUUUUGUAAUAACGACUGCUUUAGAAUAAUAUUAUGGGCCGAUCUAGGAUUUUAAUAAUAGAUGAAGGAUAAAGUUGUAUACUCAAGUUCUAUUAUUCUAUACUUAUCUACUGUACUCUAUAUAAUAAUGUCAUAUUGUUAUGUGUAUUAUUAGUUCCCUAGGAGUUACUUAUAAAGAACUAUCAUAUAUAUAGAAUAACUAAAAGAUUACCGGCUGAUUUUUUUGUUUAUUAUGAUAAAACCUGGUUUGCUUAUUCGUAUAGAUGAUCCAAGUGGUACUUCAAGGGGAAAUUGGUGGUAAUCCACAACCAUCUCUAUUAUUGUACUUAUUAAAUCUAACAUUACUGGUGUUGCUUUCAAACACUAACAGAGGAAUUAGUAUGAGGAUUUUCGUCUUUUAUCCACCGUGGUGUCAGUUCUUCCAGACAAUGAAAGUUCAUACCUGUAGCUGGAUGAUACAUAUGGGUUGGAAGUGGUGUCAAGGUAGGAAAGUUCAGGGCAUAUCGUGAUCAGAAUGCAUUUUCUAAAAGUGAAUUUCACCUGAGAAGAUGACUAAGAAACAGAGAUCUCAAUGCACUCGUGGCUUUCACUAUUCUCUAAGAUGAUGACCAGGUUUGCAGUUAGUAGAUUAUGUAUGUGAUAGUUCAACAUUUGGGUAAUCAGAAAGAAAAUACCUCAAUCCCAUACUUGAUCUCUCGACCAAUUGUUUGCAGAUAAAGAGAUAAAUGUAAUAGGUUAAUUUGUGUAUUUUUUUAACUAAUUAUUAAUUGACAUUUUUUUUUAUUUCAUAGUGCUCUCGGCAAAAUGGCAUUGAUUUUGGAUUAUAUGGCACUGGCUUCAUGAAAGGAGAUUCUCAACCACAAGCAUACCCAUAUUCAUGAAGAUGUGUAGUUCAAAUAAUGGUUUAAUGAUCAAGAUCAGAUUAAUGAAACCAGGACUCAUUGGAUGUGUUUUGUUUUUCUUUUAUGCUUAUGUGUAGUCAUUUUUUUUUCCAAUUUGUGACAAUGAAUAUUGUACAUGGGUAUGAGAUGUUUAUUUGAUGUAAUUGAGAUAUGAAAUGACUUUUGUUAUUUAUACUGAAUUGUUGUUAAUGGA